This 210-nucleotide ribosomal RNA is filed under the name uncultured Pseudomonas sp. Its description in RNAcentral is "partial 16S ribosomal RNA". It matches the Rfam family "Bacterial small subunit ribosomal RNA", at positions 1173 to 1382 of the family's 1533-position model. Lineage: Bacteria; Pseudomonadati; Pseudomonadota; Gammaproteobacteria; Pseudomonadales; Pseudomonadaceae. The record is from RNAcentral.
UGGGGAGUGACGUCAAGUCAUCAUGGCCCUUACGGCCUGGGCUACACACGUGCUACAAUGGUCGGUACAAAGGGUUGCCAAGCCGCGAGGUGGAGCUAAUCCCAUAAAACCGAUCGUAGUCCGGAUCGCAGUCUGCAACUCGACUGCGUGAAGUCGGAAUCGCUAGUAAUCGUGAAUCAGAAUGUCACGGUGAAUACGUUCCCGGGCCUU